GUGGGGAAUCUUGCGCAAUGGGCGAAAGCCUGACGCAGCCAUGCCGCGUGAAUGAUGAAGGUCUUAGGAUUGUAAAAUUCUUUCACCGGGGACGAUAAUGACGGUACCCGGAGAAGAAGCCCCGGCUAACUUCGUGCCAGCAGCCGCGGUAAUACGAAGGGGGCUAGCGUUGCUCGGAAUUACUGGGCGUAAAGGGCGCGUAGGCGGACAGUUUAGUCAGAGGUGAAAGCCCAGGGCUCAACCGUGGAAUUGCCUUUGAUACUGGCUGUCUUGAGUACGGGAGAGGUGAGUGGAAAUGCGAGGGUAGAGGUGACAUUCGUAGAUAUUCGGAAGAACACCAGUGGCGAAGGCGACUCACUGGCCCGUUACUGACGCUGAGGCGCGAAAGCGUGGGGAGCAAACAGGAUUAGAAACCCGAGUAGUCC
This 425-nucleotide ribosomal RNA is filed under the name uncultured bacterium. RNAcentral describes it as "partial 16S ribosomal RNA". It matches the Rfam family "Bacterial small subunit ribosomal RNA", at positions 354 to 796 of the family's 1533-position model. The record is from RNAcentral.